UCGUCUUCCUUGAUGAGGAGAUUGUUCAUCAAUAUUACAAUGGCUAUUGCAACAAUAUUUUGUGGCCCCUUUUCCAUUACCUUGGGCUUCCACAAGAAGAUCGACUUGCUACCACUCGGAGUUUCCAGUCGCAGUUUUCUGCAUAUAAGAAGGCAAAUCAAAUGUUUGCAGAUGUAGUUAAUGAGCACUAUGAAGAGGGUGAUGUUGUUUGGUGCCAUGACUACCAUCUUAUGUUUCUUCCAAAAUGCUUGAAGGAAUAUAACAACAAAAUGAAAGUCGGCUGGUUUCUCCACACUCCCUUUCCUUCCUCUAAAAUUCAUAGGACACUGCCAUCACGAUCAGAGCUCCUGCGCUCAGUUCUUGCAGCUGAUUUAGUUGGAUGACAACAGCAAUAGCUAUUGAAGAUGUCCGUAGAGAGGUAAAAAUACUGAAAGCAUUAUCUAGACAUAAGAAUCUGGUCAGAUUUUAUGAUGCAUUUGAGGAUGCCAAUAAUGUCUACAUAGUCAUGGAGUUGUGUAAAGGUGGAGAACUACUGGAUAAAAUUUUGUCCAGGGGUGGAAGAUACACAGAAGAAGAUGCUAAAGUUAUUGUUGUGCAAAUUUUAAGUGUUAUUGCCUAUUGUCAUCUUCAAGAUGUUGUGCAUUGAGAUCUAAAGCCAGAGAAUUUUCUUUUUGCCACAAGAGAAGAGGAUGCUUCAGUGAAGGUUAUUGAUUUUGGUCUCUCCGAUUUUAUAAGGCCUGAAAAUAUGAGGAGAUCUGUGCACCCCUGGUUGAAGAAUUUUGUUACAUUACUUAUAGGGUCCCUUAUUGAUAACACAUGUUUUAAGGAAAGAGGUAAGACUUUAUCCUACUUUGAGUGAACUGUGGGAUUUUACCCAAUGAUUGUGACUUAUAUGUUGUUUUAUACAUUUCUAGUGGGCAGUAAAAGCGCGCAAAUCAUAUAGCCAAAUUGAUAUUGACGAGGUGUGCAUUGAAGUGGCUGAUUCUAUACAGAGUUUGGUGUAAGACUUUUGGCUUCCAUGAUUUUGAGUAAGGCUAGUUUUUGCUUUGAAGCAAAGUUUGGUGUAGAACGUACUUUUGUAGUUGGUUGCUAAUAUGUUUCU
This is a long non-coding RNA of Rosa rugosa (rugosa rose), 1102 nucleotides long. RefSeq lists it as uncharacterized. NCBI's taxonomy places the organism in Eukaryota, Viridiplantae, Streptophyta, Magnoliopsida, Rosales, Rosaceae. The transcript has 6 exons. The record is from RefSeq and is a predicted model, not a curated record.